RNAcentral lists this ribosomal RNA (381 nucleotides) under uncultured Clostridium sp. RNAcentral describes it as "bacterial SSU rRNA". It matches the Rfam family "Bacterial small subunit ribosomal RNA", at positions 397 to 795 of the family's 1533-position model. Lineage: Bacteria; Bacillati; Bacillota; Clostridia; Eubacteriales; Clostridiaceae. The record is from RNAcentral.
CCGCGUGGGUGAUGAAGGUCCUCGGAUUGUAAAGCCCUGUUUUCUGGGACGAUAAUGACGGUACCAGAGGAGGAAGCCACGGCUAACUACGUGCCAGCAGCCGCGGUAAUACGUAGGUGGCGAGCGUUGUCCGGAUUUACUGGGCGUAAAGGGUGCGUAGGCGGAUGUUUAAGUGGGAUGUGAAAUCCCCGGGCUUAACCUGGGGGCUGCAUUCCAAACUGGAUAUCUAGAGUGCAGGAGAGGAAAGCGGAAUUCCUAGUGUAGCGGUGAAAUGCGUAGAGAUUAGGAAGAACACCAGUGGCGAAGGCGGCUUUCUGGACUGUAACUGACGCUGAGGCACGAAAGCGUGGGUAGCAAACAGGAUUAGAUACCCUGGUAGUC